This 519-nucleotide ribosomal RNA is filed under the name uncultured soil bacterium. Its description in RNAcentral is "bacterial SSU rRNA". It matches the Rfam family "Bacterial small subunit ribosomal RNA", at positions 26 to 518 of the family's 1533-position model. The record is from RNAcentral.
AGAAUCAACGCUGGCGGCGUGCCUAACACAUGCAAGUCGAACGGGAAGGGGGGCUUCGGCUCCCCCGAGAGUGGCGUACGGGUGAGUAACACGUGGGUAAUCUGCCUUUGGGUGGGGAAUAACAAUCCGAAAGGGUUGCUAAUACCGCAUAACGCAGCGGCACCGCAUGGUGACAGUUGUUAAAGCGGGGGAUCGCAAGACCUCGCGCCUGAAGAGGAGCUCGCGCCCGAUUAGCUAGUUGGCGGGGUAAGAGCCCACCAAGGCUUCGAUCGGUAGCCGGCCUGAGAGGGCGGUCGGCCACACUGGCACUGAGACACGGGCCAGACUCCUACGGGAGGCAGCAGUGGGGAAUUUUGGGCAAUGGGCGAAAGCCUGACCCAGCAACGCCGCGUGAAGGACGAAAUCCCUCUGGGAUGUAAACUUCGAAAGUCGGGAAAAGAAAUCGACGAAGGAUAACUACCCUUCGUGGAAUAACGGUAACCGACGUAAGCCCCGGCUAACUACGUGACCAGCAGCCGC